GCGGCGGACGGGUGAGUAACGCGUAGGCAACCUGCCCCAUACAGAGGGAUAGCCUCGAGAAAUCGGGAUUAAAACCUCAUAAUGCCAUCGAGUCACAUGGCUCUUUGGCCAAAGAUUUAUCGGUAUGGGAUGGGCCCGCGUCUGAUUAGCUAGUUGGUGAGGUAACGGCUCACCAAGGCGACGAUCCGUAGCUGGUCUGAGAGGAUGAUCAGCCACACUGGGACUGAGACACGGCCCAGACUCCUACGGGAGGCAGCAGUGGGGAAUUUUGGACAAUGGGCGCAAGCCUGAUCCAGCCAUGCCGCGUGAGUGAAGAAGGCCUUCGGGUUGUAAAGCUCUUUCGGCCGGGAAGAAAUCGCAUUCUCUAAUAUAGGAUGUGGAUGACGGUACCGGACUAAGAAGCACCGGCUAACUACGUGCCAGCAGCCGCGGUAAUACGUAGGGUGCGAGCGUUAAUCGGAAUUACUGGGCGUAAAGCGUGCGCAGGCGGUUUGCUAAGACAGGUGUGAAAUCCCCGGGCUUAACCUGGGAACUGCGCUUGUGACUGGCAGGCUAGAGUACGGUAGAGGGGGGUGGAAUUCCUGGUGUAGCAGUGAAAUGCGUAGAUAUCAGGAGGAACACCGAUGGCGAAGGCAGCC
This 638-nucleotide ribosomal RNA is filed under the name uncultured bacterium. RNAcentral's name for it is "bacterial SSU rRNA". It matches the Rfam family "Bacterial small subunit ribosomal RNA", at positions 95 to 726 of the family's 1533-position model. The record is from RNAcentral.